This 478-nucleotide ribosomal RNA is filed under the name uncultured bacterium. RNAcentral's name for it is "partial 16S ribosomal RNA". It matches the Rfam family "Bacterial small subunit ribosomal RNA", at positions 28 to 523 of the family's 1533-position model. The record is from RNAcentral.
GACGAACGCUGGCGGCGUGCUUAACACAUGCAAGUCGAACGGUAAGGCCCUUCGGGGUACACGAGUGGCGAACGGGUGAGUAACACGUGGGUGAUCUGCCCUGCACUUCGGGAUAAGCCUGGGAAACUGGGUCUAAUACCGGAUAGGACCACUGCCUGCAUGGGUGGGGGUGGAAAGCUUUUGCGGUGUGGGAUGGGCCCGCGGCCUAUCAGCUUGUUGGUGGGGUGAUGGCCUACCAAGGCGACGACGGGUAGCCGGCCUGAGAGGGUGACCGGCCACACUGGGACUGAGAUACGGCCCAGACUCCUACGGGAGGCAGCAGUGGGGAAUAUUGCACAAUGGGCGCAAGCCUGAUGCAGCGACGCCGCGUGAGGGAUGACGGCCUUCGGGUUGUAAACCUCUUUCAGCUAUGACGAAGCGCAAGUGACGGUAGGUGCAGAAGAAGGACCGGCCAACUACGUGCCAGCCGCCGCGGUAA